CCUACGGGAGGCAGCAGUGAGGAAUAUUGGUCAAUGGACGAGAGUCUGAACCAGCCAAGUAGCGUGAAGGAUGACUGCCCUAUGGGUUGUAAACUUCUUUUAUAUGGGAAUAAAAUGUUCCACGUGUGGGAUUUUGUAUGUACCAUAUGAAUGAGGAUCGGCUAACUCCGUGCCAGCAGCCGCGGUAAUACGGAGGAUCCGAGCGUUAUCCGGAUUUAUUGGGUUUAAAGGGAGCGUAGGUGGAUUGUUAAGUCAGUUGUGAAAGUUUGCGGCUCAACCGGAAAAGUGCAGUUGAAACUGGCAGUCUUGAGUACAGUAGAGGUGGGCGGAAUUCGUGGUGUAGCGGUGAAAUGCUUAGAUAUCACGAAGAACUCCGAUUGCGAAGGCAGUUCACUGGACUGCAACUGACACUGAGGCUCGAAAGUGUGGGUAUCAAACAGGAUUAGAUACCCUGGUAGUC
This 460-nucleotide ribosomal RNA is filed under the name uncultured bacterium. Its description in RNAcentral is "partial 16S ribosomal RNA". It matches the Rfam family "Bacterial small subunit ribosomal RNA", at positions 338 to 795 of the family's 1533-position model. The record is from RNAcentral.